This 65-nucleotide transfer RNA is filed under the name marine eukaryotic metagenome. It matches the Rfam family "tRNA", at positions 5 to 66 of the family's 71-position model. Rfam says of the family: Transfer RNA (tRNA) molecules are approximately 80 nucleotides in length. Their secondary structure includes four short double-helical elements and three loops (D, anti-codon, and T loops). The record is from RNAcentral.
CUAGUAGCUCAGCGGUUAGAGCACACGACUCAUAAUCGUUCGGUCGCAGGUUCGAAUCCUGCCUA